Molecule: ribosomal RNA, 916 nt
Filed under: Hymenoscyphus immutabilis
Lineage: Eukaryota; Fungi; Ascomycota; Leotiomycetes; Helotiales; Helotiaceae
Description: partial large subunit ribosomal RNA
Rfam family: Eukaryotic large subunit ribosomal RNA
Source: RNAcentral
GUUCUUAUGCGCGGGAUUACCUCAGUAACGGCGAGUGAAGCGGUAACAGCUCAAAUUUGAAAUCUGGCUCUUUCAGGGUCCGAGUUGUAAUUUGUAGAAGAUGCUUCGGGUGUGGCUCCGGUCUAAGUUCCUUGGAACAGGACGUCAUAGAGGGUGAGAAUCCCGUAUGUGACUGGUUGCCUUCGCCCAUGUGAAGCUCUUUCGACGAGUCGAGUUGUUUGGGAAUGCAGCUCUAAAUGGGAGGUAUAUUUCUUCUAAAGCUAAAUAUUGGCCAGAGACCGAUAGCGCACAAGUAGAGUGAUCGAAAGAUGAAAAGCACUUUGGAAAGAGAGUUAAACAGUACGUGAAAUUGUUGAAAGGGAAGCGCUUGCAACCAGACUUGCACGCCGUCGAUCAUCCUGGGUUCUCCCUGGUGCACUCGGCGGCGUUCAGGCCAGCAUCGGUUUUGGUGGUUGGAUAAAGGCCUUGGGAAUGUGGCUCCUCUCGGGGAGUGUUAUAGCCCUCGGUGCAAUGCAGCCUACCGGGACCGAGGACCGCGCUUCGGCUAGGAUGCUGGCGUAAUGGUUGUAAGCGACCCGUCUUGAAACACGGACCAAGGAGUCUAACAUCUAUGCGAGUGUUUGGGUGUCAAACCCAUACGCGUAAUUAACGUGAACGGAGGUGAGAACCCUUUAGGGUGCAUCAUCGACCGAUCCUGAUGUCUUCGGAUGGAUUUGAGUAAGAGCAUAGCUGUUGGGACCCGAAAGAUGGUGAACUAUGCCUAAAUAGGGUGAAGCCAGAGGAAACUCUGGUGGAGGCUCGCAGCGGUUCUGACGUGCAAAUCGAUCGUCAAAUUUGGGUAUAGGGGCGAAAGACUAAUCGAACCAUCUAGUAGCUGGUUCCCUGCCGAAGUCUCCCUCCUGAGGAGUUUAGCAAA